Molecule: ribosomal RNA, 242 nt
Filed under: Klebsiella pneumoniae
Lineage: Bacteria; Pseudomonadati; Pseudomonadota; Gammaproteobacteria; Enterobacterales; Enterobacteriaceae
Description: partial 16S ribosomal RNA
Rfam family: Bacterial small subunit ribosomal RNA
Source: RNAcentral
UCCGUGCCAGCAGCCGCGGUAAUACGGUGCGUGCAAGAGUUAAUCUGAAUUACUGGGCGUAAAGCGCACGCAGGCGGUCUGUCAAGUCGUAUGUGAAAUCCCCGGGCUCAACCUGGGAACUGCAUUCGAAACUGGCAGGCUAGAUUCUUGUAGAGGGGGGUUGAAUUCCAGGUGUAGCGGUGAAAUGCGUAGAGAUCUGGAGGAUUACCGGUGGCGAAGGCGGCCCCCUGGACAAAGACUGA